RNAcentral lists this ribosomal RNA (253 nucleotides) under uncultured bacterium. Its description in RNAcentral is "partial 16S ribosomal RNA". It matches the Rfam family "Bacterial small subunit ribosomal RNA", at positions 524 to 776 of the family's 1533-position model. The record is from RNAcentral.
UACAGAGGGGGCAAGCGUUAUUCGGAAUUAUUGGGCGUAAAGGGCGCGUAGGCGGCUUGGCAAGUGGAAGGUGAAAUCCCUCGGCUUAACCGAGGAACUGCCCUCCAAACUGCUUUGCUUGAGGCCGGGAGAGGCGAGUGGAAUUCCCAGUGUAGCGGUGAAAUGCGUAGAUAUUGGGAGGAACACCAGUGGCGAAGGCGGCUCGCUGGACCGGUUCUGACGCUGAGGAGCGAAAGCGUGGGGAGCGAACAGG